Molecule: long non-coding RNA, 357 nt
Organism: Gadus morhua (Atlantic cod)
Lineage: Eukaryota; Metazoa; Chordata; Actinopteri; Gadiformes; Gadidae
Source: Ensembl
GCGCUCCGUCAAACCGCUGCUUUCAGUGUAUGUCUUUCUUUAUAGGUCAAUGUGCGUCGAUAGCGUGGUAAAAUUGUAAAAAUUGACAGUGAAUGUCCAGGACCCGCAUAUACGUUUAAUUUCGUUAAACACAGGGGUUCAAAUCACUUUUCCAUCCGGUGACCUGUGUGGAGGUGCCUUUUACCCAGGACAGCAACUAUUUUGUGGACAGCCUAGUUUGAAAAAACAACUACAAACAACGGAUUCUGAAUUACGAGGAAAACCACUCGACAGAACAGAACAGAUUUUCCACAUCGCAGGUAAAACAAACCCAAACCCUCUUCUUUUUCUAACGCAUCCAAAAGUGUUUAAUUUCCU